AAAUUUCCAGACGCUAACAACAACCAAACGGUGUGAGAAAACGUGUGAAUCUGGUAGCACUGCGAUUUGUGUUGUCGUCUUCUUUAAUUCCAACGACAACAGUACAUCCACGCAGCUCUUCUAGCGGGAAAAGCAACACAAGUUUUCAUCCUUGCAGCUUAAGAUCUUGCCACGAAGCACGCCAAGGAUGACCGAACCGAUCAAGUCGUCCAUCGCCUCUUCCUCUUUCGGAAUGGGGCAAAUUUUUAGGGAAAACGUGUUUAUCACGAAUUGGGAAGGAUUUUCGAGUUUUGAACUUGAAAUGGGCCUUAUCCCUAGGCGGGUUUUCGUCACUUUCCCCCUAAUUCUGAACCCUAUUUUGCCUAUAUAUGUUUUCCCCUUAUUCAUUGUGAGAGGGGGAGAGGUGAGAUUAUUUUUAGCAAUAGACCGGAGAAUAACUUCAGUAAAACACACACUAAGUACGUUUUCAAGAAAAAAAAGAAGUACAAGCUCAUAUAGCAGUUAAUUUGGAUAGUCUGGAGUCCCUUUGGUUUCCUAGUUUCAUUUGUUGUGUCGAGAAUCCAAGGUCGUGGUGAAGGACAUCGCUCAGUUUGUUGUCGUCCCGUUUCGCUGCUCCAAGAAAGGUAAACCCGGUUCCUUCUUAUUCCUUCACUAUUUUAUUUCGUUGGACUUUAUAGGUUCUCGAUUCUCGUAUUUUUGAAUUCUUGUCGUUCAUGCUUUUACAUCCCCUAUAUUGUGGCUACUAGAUGAGUGUUCUUUUUGUCUUUUCAUCCUGCUAAUUUUUAAAUGUUUGGAUCGAUUCAUUAACACUUAUGCUCUCAAAAUCAUUCAUUGAGGAUCUCGGUUAGUUUGAGCUUAAUAUGGGUCAAUAAUUUAAAGCGGUUUAAGUUUGAGUAUUCACCUUUGUGAUUAAUCUUGAUGUUGCAAGGCUUAAGUUGUUUGUCUCAUUGUCGUCGUUAUAUCUGUCGACUCGAACCCGUUAUCAAGUUUUGUUGACAUGUUUUGUUCUGCUUUUAGUGCUUUCUUCUAUCAUUCAUCUUGGGUCAUUACUUGUUAUCGACGUUAAAUAUUUAAAGGCUGAAAUUAGUUGAUACAGUAGUAUCAUGUUGUCCUAUGGUGUUGUCCGCGUGUGUCUUAGCUCAAGGUAGAAUCAAGUGUUCCUUCACCUCUCCGUUUAGAUCAUUCGAAGUGUUGUCCCGAAUUUAUGUUGUCGGGAUCCUAAAUCACUCGUUUCGCUGCCACUGGUAGUGGUAAACUAGUUCUAGCUCCAAGUUCAUGUUUAGUCUUGUGAAAUUUUUAUUCUAAUUUGAAUAAUGGGUGGGAAUGUUACUGAUGGGUUUGCAUUUUGUUGGUUCCCCUCUCGUAAUUUUGAAGCUCACUAAUUUCGUUACAUCAUAUCAUAUGUUAUAAUUUUUCCAACAGGCUUCCAUUUUCCUUUGUUCCAGUCUCGUUUUCUUUUUUUUUUAAUGACAGUCCGUUACUAAUUGAUUUCUUGAAACCCGAAAGUUGUUGGAAUGCUUUUUUUUGUUCCAAUAUUAAUCAUCUGUAAAGCUCAUGGCAUAGUAGGCUAAUUAGUCAAUUUAUUUACUAUUAGGAAUCAUAUUUUAAUGCAUUUAUAUGGAACAAUGGCUUGAAUGUUCAUUACUUUAUUUGUUAGCAUGAUUUGAGGCCAUUAGUUUUUCUUGUGAAUUUGUCCCCUUUUAUUCAUAUUUUUCAGCAUUUAGCUUGAUCGAGUUCAUUUUGCUAUAUCACUCUAAGAGUCGAUGUGAUAAGUUGUCUUAGAUAUGUUAUUAUUUUCGUUAUUUCGAGGCUUUAAUUUUUUACUCUUUUUUUUGUUGCAUGUGAUACCGUCCGAAUUUUCUUGGACUCUAUUUUUCUCCUUGCAUUUCGAGAGAGCCGUAAAGGCUUAAACUCUUCCUUUUCGAGUCAGCCCGCUACAAAAAUUGACGAACAGGUCCCAGAGUUCAAAGAAUAUGCAGUAGAUCGAAAAAUUGAAAGGAUUGGGCCAGAGGCCCACUCUUUAUUACAAAAAAUUGUAUUUUGUUAUUUUUUGGGCCUAAGCCCACUUAUCUAUUGUCUUGCUAGAAUUUAGGACAGGUGAAAAAUUGGGCCUAAGGCCCAAAUAAUAUUUUAUUUUUAUGUUAGUUUAGGACAGGUACCAAGUGUUGGACAAAAGGUCCAAAAAAUAAAAAUCAGACCCAAGUAUUGGUCCAGGCGGACAGAAAAAAAACCCAUACUUGGGCCCAAAUCUCUUUUCCUCUUUGUUUUAUUAUAUUUAUUUGCUUAUUAAUGUUUGUCAUUAAUCUUAAGAUCAACAAUUCAAAUCCCCGAAAUACGUCCAUUUCGCUUUAAGAAAUUAACUAAACUAGUCAUCUCUUAAC
This 2381-nucleotide long non-coding RNA is filed under the name Solanum tuberosum (potato). RNAcentral's name for it is "long non-coding RNA (STUB_LNC007588)". The record is from RNAcentral. Lineage: Eukaryota; Viridiplantae; Streptophyta; Magnoliopsida; Solanales; Solanaceae.